GACGAACGCUGGCGGCGUGCUUAACACAUGCAAGUCGAACGGAAAGGCCCUGCUUUUGUGGGGUGCUCGAGUGGCGAACGGGUGAGUAACACGUGAGUAACCUGCCCUUGACUUUGGGAUAACUUCAGGAAACUGGGGCUAAUACCGGAUAGGAGCUCCUGCUGCAUGGUGGGGGUUGGAAAGUUUCGGCGGUUGGGGAUGGACUCGCGGCUUAUCAGCUUGUUGGUGGGGUAGUGGCUUACCAAGGCUUUGACGGGUAGCCAGCCUGAGAGGGUGACCGGCCACAUUGGGACUGAGAUACGGCCCAGACUCCUACGGGAGGCAGCAGUGGGGAAUACUGCACAAUGGGCGGAAGCCUGAUGCAGCAACGCCGCGUGCGGGAUGACGGCCUUCGGGUUGUAAACCGCUUUCGCCUGUGACGAAGCGUGAGUGACGGUAAUGGGUAAAGAAGCACCGGCUAACUACGUG
RNAcentral lists this ribosomal RNA (468 nucleotides) under uncultured bacterium. RNAcentral describes it as "partial 16S ribosomal RNA". It matches the Rfam family "Bacterial small subunit ribosomal RNA", at positions 28 to 507 of the family's 1533-position model. The record is from RNAcentral.